CAGAUAGCCUAUUGGAAAGUGAUUUAAAUUUGCAGAGCAAUCCGGAUUGCAAACUUGAUGAAUAUAUAUCAGAAGCGAUGGACAUAGCUGCAACAAGAAUAGUGAAAUUCUGGUUACAUCCAAAUAUUAUAUUUAACAAUUCAUCUAUGGGGAAACGGCUACAAGAAAUUCUUUCCCCCUUAAAUAAAAUAACAAACGAGG
Molecule: long non-coding RNA, 201 nt
Filed under: Polistes fuscatus (common paper wasp)
Lineage: Eukaryota; Metazoa; Arthropoda; Insecta; Hymenoptera; Vespidae
Description: uncharacterized LOC122517747
Source: RNAcentral